UUAGAAUAAAUAGUGGCUUGAACAUACACUCAAAGUGUUAUUCUAUGAUAUGUUUUCUUAAAUAUAAUGUCUAUAUACACUUUAUUCUAUUAUACUUAAACUUUAUUUAUUCUAUUAUACUUUACUCAAAAUGCACACAAUUUCAUGUAAGUAAUAUAGGUAGGUUUGCAAUUAAUCUAUAUAUAGUAAGCCCAUAUACAAUUUAAUAUUCACCAUCUCUCAUAUUCCUUCACCUUCAUAAAAGUUGAGCGGAGCAAAAUAAUUUAAGAAGAAACUCAAGUGCAAUCCAACUAGUCCAUUUUGAAUCAGGAAUUAGAGUUGAAGAAAAAGGGAUGGCACACUCUAUUGAGAUGACUUCAAUAGAUGACCAAAUUCCACUGCUUCCUCAAAGUGAAAAUGAUGAGAUAGAAAAAGAAAGUAAAAUGCAUCCAUCAGGGCCUCAAAUAAAUCAAAUCUUUGAUGAAAUGUUUAAGGAUUUGGACAAAUCAUCCUUACAAUCGAGUACCAUAUUUAAAGUGACUACGUGAAUCAAAUUCAGAUGCCUAUACACCAAAGAUGGUCUCUAUUGCUGAAAUUUGUCAUGAAACAAGUUUAUUUGAUAUUAAGUUUGAGAAUGGAUUGAUGACAAUACCUUCUAUUGAUGUGGUGGAUAGUACUGAAACCCUCCUGCCAAAUUUCAUUGCUUAUGAGCAACAAUCAACUGAUUUAGAAUAUCUAUAUUUCAGUGAUUAUGCAACUUUCAUGGAUCAUCUUAUCGACUCAGAUAAAGAUGUGAAUUUGCUCCGCCGU
This is a long non-coding RNA of Solanum pennellii, 789 nucleotides long. RefSeq lists it as uncharacterized. The record is from RefSeq and is a predicted model, not a curated record. The transcript has 3 exons. Lineage: Eukaryota; Viridiplantae; Streptophyta; Magnoliopsida; Solanales; Solanaceae.